UACGAAGGAUGCAAGCGUUAUCCGGAUUUAUUGGGUUUAAAGGGAGCGUAGGCGGUCUUAUAAGUCAGUGGUGAAAUCCUAUCGCUUAACGAUAGACGUGCCAUUGAUACUGUAGGACUUGAGUACAGAUGCCGUUGGCGGAAUGUGUCAUGUAGCGGUGAAAUGCAUAGAUAUGACACAGAACACCGAUUGCGAAGGCAGCUGACGAAACUGUAACUGACGCCGAGGCUCGAAAGCGUGGGGAUCAAACAGG
This 253-nucleotide ribosomal RNA is filed under the name uncultured bacterium. RNAcentral describes it as "partial 16S ribosomal RNA". It matches the Rfam family "Bacterial small subunit ribosomal RNA", at positions 524 to 776 of the family's 1533-position model. The record is from RNAcentral.